AACGAACGCUGGCGGCAGGCCUAACACAUGCAAGUCGAACGCUCUAGCAAUAGAGAGUGGCAGACGGGUGAGUAACGCGUGGGAAACUUCCUAGGGGUACGGAAUAGCUCAGGGAAACUUGGGGUAAUACCGUAUGAUGCCGAGAGGCCAAAGAUUUAUCGCCCUUAGAUGUGCCCGCGUCGGAUUAGCUAGUUGGUGAGGUAACGGCUCACCAAGGCGACGAUCCGUAGCUGGUUUGAGAGAAUGACCAGCCACACUGGGACUGAGACACGGCCCAGACUCCUACGGGAGGAAGCAGUGGAGAAUCUUGGACAAUGGGCGCAAGCCUGAUCCAGCCAUGCCGCGUGAGUUACGAAGGCCUUAGGGUUGUAAAGCUCUUUUGCCGGGGACGAUAAUGACGGUACCCGGAGAAUAAGUCCCGGCUAACUUCGUGCCAGCCGCCGCGGUAA
Molecule: ribosomal RNA, 449 nt
Filed under: uncultured bacterium
Lineage: Bacteria
Description: partial 16S ribosomal RNA
Rfam family: Bacterial small subunit ribosomal RNA
Source: RNAcentral